RNAcentral lists this ribosomal RNA (258 nucleotides) under uncultured bacterium. RNAcentral describes it as "partial 16S ribosomal RNA". It matches the Rfam family "Bacterial small subunit ribosomal RNA", at positions 96 to 354 of the family's 1533-position model. The record is from RNAcentral.
UGGCGGACGGGUGAGUAACGCGUGGAAAACCUGCCGUAUACUGGGGGAUAACACUUAGAAAUAGGUGCCAAUACCGCAUAAGCGCACAGCUUCGCAUGAAGCGGUGUGAAAAACUCUGGUGGUAUACGAUGGUUCCGCGUCUGAUUAGCUAGUUGGUGGGGUAAUGGCCUACCAAGGCAACGAUCAGUAGCCGGCCUGAGAGGGUGAACGGCCACAUUGGGACUGAGACACGGCCCAAACUCCUACGGGAGGCAGCAG